RNAcentral lists this ribosomal RNA (408 nucleotides) under Crispiphantes sp. LT-2015. RNAcentral describes it as "partial 16S ribosomal RNA". The record is from RNAcentral. Lineage: Eukaryota; Metazoa; Arthropoda; Arachnida; Araneae; Linyphiidae.
AUAUUUAUAAAUAAAAUCUGCUCAAUGAUUCUAAAUAGCCGCAGAAUUUUAACUGUGCUAAGGUAGCAUAAUCAUUUACCUUUUAAUUAAAGGUUUGUAUGAAUGAUUUAACAAUUAAAUUACUUUUUUAUCAAUAUAUAUAUAACUUAAACUAAAGAUUAAAAUGUCUUUAUUUAUAAAAAAGACGACAAGACCCUUUUGAACUUCACUUAAGUUUAGCUGGGGAAGCUAAUUAAAUAUUAUUUUAAUUUAAAAUUUUAAAUAAAUUUCUAAUACAAUUAAAUAAAAUAAGUUACCAAAGGGAUAACAGCGUAAUAAUUUUUAAAAGUUCUUAUUUAAAAAAAUGUUUACGACCUCGAUGUUGAAUUAAAAUUACUUUAAGACGCAAUAGUAUAAAAGUAGGUCUGU